Long non-coding RNA from Onychostoma macrolepis, 692 nucleotides. RefSeq lists it as uncharacterized. The transcript has 3 exons. Lineage: Eukaryota; Metazoa; Chordata; Actinopteri; Cypriniformes; Cyprinidae. The record is from RefSeq and is a predicted model, not a curated record.
AAAACAUUUGUGUAUUUCAGUACACCCUCUCAAUGAUCUGUGACAUCGACUUCGAUUUCCAAGAGGAUGUUCUCAAUGGGAAACCAUCAAAGUGGUUCCCCUAAAGCCACAUGUGCCAGUCUACAUGGACAGUGAGCAGCAGUGUGCCAUUCUUUUUGAACACCUCAAAGCUCUGCUACACAAUUGUAAAACUCAACUGAACUUCACAAAUGAAGUGGAGUUCAUUUGUAGUUUUCUUUUUCCUGAGGUAGGCCUGCACAUGUUUGUCUAUUGGAUUGUUUCUAUUAUUGCCAUAUAUGAAAUGUUUUAUACAUUAAUUAAUUAAUGUAUUUAUUUAUAUGGACAGGCCAUCAUUCAUGGCCUAUGUGAGCUGCAGGCAUUAUCCUGGCAGGAGGCUGAGGAGGUGUUCCUUCGUGGCCCUACUUAUCACCCUAGUGAAGUUGAGGAAUUUGACCGGGUGAUUGCAAAAAGAAUGAGAAAAGAAGCAACAUUUGGCUACCAGAAAGUAAUUAUUUUACCUUAUGCAUUUACAUUACAUUUUACAUUUAUUCAUUUAGCAGACGCUUUUAUCCAAAGCGACUUAUAAAUGAGGAGGUUUUUUGAAUGCAAUUGAAGACGAAAAUAAAGUCACUAACACAAUUCUUUCUUCCUUUUUUCUUUGCUUUCUCCUGUUUACAGCAAGAUGACAGUGA